UACGUAGGUGGCAAGCGUUAUCCGGAUUUAUUGGGCGUAAAGGGAACGCAGGCGGUCCUUUAAGUCUGAUGUGAAAGCCUUCGGCUUAACCGGAGUAGUGCAUUGGAAACUGGGAGACUUGAGUGCAGAAGAGGAGAGUGGAACUCCAUGUGUGGCGGUGAAAUGCGUAGAUAUAUGGAAGAACACCAGUGGCGAAAGCGGCUCUCUGGUCUGUAACUGACGCUGAGGUUCGAAAGCGUGGGUAGCAAACAGG
This 253-nucleotide ribosomal RNA is filed under the name uncultured bacterium. RNAcentral describes it as "partial 16S ribosomal RNA". It matches the Rfam family "Bacterial small subunit ribosomal RNA", at positions 524 to 776 of the family's 1533-position model. The record is from RNAcentral.